UGAGGAGAGUGAUAAAAUGUCGUGCUAGGUGAAUGGGAUUGAAUUCCCAGCCGUAGAGGGUGAUGGCCCCGUAGCUUGUCGUGCGAUGUCUCUUUAUGUUUAUUCCCAAGUAGCGCGGGACUCGUGGAAUCCCGCGUGAAUCUGCCCAGACCGUUGGGUAAGCCUAAGUAUUCCUGUCUGACCGAUAGUGUACUAGUACCGUGAGGGAAAGGUGAAAAGCACCCCGGGAGGGGAGUGAAAUAGUUCCUGAAACCGUGCGCUUACAAUCCGUCGGAGCCUUCUUUGUGGGGUGACGGCGUGCCUAUCGAAAAAUGAGUCUGCGAGUCAGUGGUAUGUGGCGAGGCUAACCCGGGUGGGGGAGCCGUAGCGAAAGCGAGUUUUAAAAGGCGUUUGAGUCGCAUGUCCUGGACCCGAAGCGGGAUGAUCUAGCCCUGAGCAGGUUGAAGCGCGGGUAAGACCGUGUGGAGGACCGAACCCACCUAGGUUGAAAACUGGGGGGAUGACUUGGGGUUAGGGGUGAAAGGCCAAUCAAAUUCCGUGAUAGCUGGUUCUCUCCGAAAUGCAUUUAGGUGCAGCGUCGUGUUAUUGCUUACAGGGGGUAGAGCUACUGGAUGCUUGCGGGCCCAUACCGGGUACCAAUAGCAGCCAAACUCCGAAUACCUGUUAGGUUUAUCACGGCAGUGAGUCGGCGGGGGAUAAGCUCCGUCGUCAAAAGGGAAACAGCCCUGAUCGUCGUCUAAGGUCCCGAAGCGCGUGCUAAGUGGGAAAGGAUGUGGAGUCGCAUAGACAGCCAGGAGGUUGGCUCAGAAGCAGCCAUCCUUGAAAGAGUGCGUAACAGCUCACUGGUCUAGUGGUUCCGCGCCGACAAUGUAGCGGGGCUUAAGCACGCCACCGAAGACGCGGCUGCAUGAUUUGUUUCAUGCGGGGUAGGAGAGCGUCCUGUAUGGGGUGAAGCGGCAGUGUGAACUUGUCGUGGACUUUACAGGAGUGAGAAUGCAGACAUGAGUAGCGAGAGACGGGUGUGAAUCCCGUCCGCUGAAUGACUAAGGGUUCCGGGGCCACGUUCGUCGUCCCCGGGUGAGUCGAGUCCUAAGGCGAGGCCGACAGGCGUAGUCGAAUGGAUGAACGGGUUGAUAUUCCCGUACCGGUGUUACACCGUUCGAACUGAAUCUGAGAGUACUAACCUUCAUUUUCUUGUUGAUUGCCUUUCGGGGUUGUUGAUGGGUUUGUGUUGGGACUGUAUCGGUAGUAGGUUAGCGUGGGAGUGACGCGGGUAGGUAGCCGGCUGCGGAGGUGGUUUUCCGUGGCUAAGCGUGUGGGCUGUCUCCUAGGUAAAUCCGGGGGAUGUUAAGCUGAGGCGUGAUGGGUAGGCUGUAAGGCUGAUUCCGGUGAUCCUGCUUGCCAAGAAAAGCUUCAACGUGAGGUGUGAUUCCGCUCGUACCCUAAACCGACACUGGUGGUCUGGUAGAGUAUACCGAAGCGAUCGGGCGAAUCCUGGCCAAGGAACUCGGCAAAUUACUCCCGUGCCUUCGGCAUAAGGGAGACCCCUGAUGGUGAUAUGGUUUUACAUUGUUGAGCUGUUGGGGGUGGCACAAGCUAGGGGGUAGCGACUGUUUACCAAAAACACAGGAGCGUGCGAAGGCGUAAGCCGCUGUAUACGCUCUGACGCCUGCCCGGUGCCGGAAGGUUAAGAGGAUCCGUUAGCUUCGGUGAAGCGGUGAAUUUAAGCCCCGGUAAACGGCGGUGGUAACUAUAACCAUCCUAAGGUAGCGAAAUUCCUUGUCGGG
Molecule: ribosomal RNA, 1787 nt
Filed under: Bifidobacteriaceae bacterium NR019
Lineage: Bacteria; Bacillati; Actinomycetota; Actinomycetes; Bifidobacteriales; Bifidobacteriaceae
Description: bacterial LSU rRNA
Rfam family: Bacterial large subunit ribosomal RNA
Source: RNAcentral